RNAcentral lists this ribosomal RNA (438 nucleotides) under Micromonas pusilla. RNAcentral describes it as "partial Bacterial large subunit ribosomal RNA". It matches the Rfam family "Bacterial large subunit ribosomal RNA", at positions 976 to 1398 of the family's 2925-position model. The record is from RNAcentral. Lineage: Eukaryota; Viridiplantae; Chlorophyta; Mamiellophyceae; Mamiellales; Mamiellaceae.
GUGUGCAGUCAGAGGUAGAGUGCUAAGGUUCUGCCUCGAAAGGGAAACAGCCCAACCCGUGUGGUAAGGUCCCCAAACCCUAUGUGAGUGGGAAAAGCUACCUUCCGACGAUGACAACGAGCAGGUUGGCUUGGAAGCAGCCAUCCUUUAAAGAAAGCGUAAGAGCUCACUCGUCGAGUUGGAUGUAGUUGAUGAUGUAUCGGGGCUGAACAUAGGUACCGACCCAACGGAUGGAUACAGGUUCAAUACAGCCUGUGUCUAUGGUAGCGAAGCGUUUUGAGUACUGCUGAAGUGAGGGCGGAAGCUUUCAUGUAGGGUUCAAAAGUGACUAUGCUGGCAUGAGUAACGAAAGAUCAUGUAGAUAAGGCAUGACCGCCGUACGUUCAAGGUUUUCUUGCGUUCUGGUAACCAGCGCAGAGUUAUUCGGCCCCUAAGGGC